This 2065-nucleotide ribosomal RNA is filed under the name human gut metagenome. RNAcentral describes it as "bacterial LSU rRNA". It matches the Rfam family "Bacterial large subunit ribosomal RNA", at positions 832 to 2925 of the family's 2925-position model. The record is from RNAcentral.
AUCGAACCCGGAGAUAGCUGGUUCUCCUCGAAAUAGCUUUAGGGCUAGCCUCAUGGAUCAUUGGUGGGGGUAGAGCACUGAAUGUGCGCGGGGGCCACAAAGCCUACCAAACGCUAUCAAACUUCGAAUACCAUACAAUGCAGACCAUGGGAGUCAGUCCGCGAGAGAUAAGUUCCGCGGGCAAAAGGGGAACACCCCAGAUCAACCGCUAAGGUCCCCAAGUUCACGUUAAGUGGAGAAGGAUGUGGAAUUGCACAGACAACCAGGAUGUUGGCUCAGAAGCAGCCACACAUUUAAAGAGUGCGUAAUAGCUCACUGGUCGAGUGAUUGUGCGCCGAAGAUGUCCGGGGCUAAACGUGACACCGAAGCGAUGGGUGCAUCUGAAAGGAUGCGCGGUAGAGGAGCAAUGUGCAGAGGCAGAAGCCGUAUCGAGAGGCACGGUGGACACUGCACAAGAGAGAAUGCCGGUAUGAGUAGCGAGAGGCAUGCGAGAAACAUGCCCGUCGAAAGCCCAAGGUUUCCUGGGGAAGGUUCAUCCGCCCAGGGUAAGUCGGGGCCUAAGCCGAGGACGGAAGUCGUAGGCGAUGGACAGCAGGUGUAGAUUCCUGCACUACCGAUGGAAUGAAGCAGUGACACAGAAGGAUAACUCGAGCAGGGUGAUGGUCAACCCUGUGCAAGCAUCAAGGUUGGGUUGUAGUGAAGUACGCAACCCUAUAAGCUGAGGUGUGAUGCGGACCGAAAUUUCAGUAGGGAAGCGAGUGAGUUCACGCUGGCGAGAAAAGCUGCUAGUACAUCCAAAGGUACCCGUACCGGAAACCGACGCAGGUGGGCGAGGAGAGAAUCCUGAGACGAACGGGAGAACCCUUGUUAAGGAACUCGGCAAAAUGACCCCGUAACUUCGGGAUAAGGGGUGCCUGCGAGAGCAGGCCGCAGAGAAUAGUCACAAGCGACUGUUUAGCAAAAACACAGGUAUCUGCGAAAGCGAGAGCUGACGUAUAGGUGCUGACACCUGCCCGGUGCUGGAAGGUUAAGGGAACAUGUUAGAGCAAUCGAAGCAUCGAACCGAAGCCCCAGUAAACGGCGGCCGUAACUAUAACGGUCCUAAGGUAGCGAAAUUCCUUGUCGGGUAAGUUCCGACCCGCACGAAUGGUGUAACGACUUGUGAGCUGUCUCAACAGGGGGCCCGGUGAAAUUGAAGUAUGGGUGAAGAUGCCCAUUACCCGCGACUGGACGGAAAGACCCCGUAGAGCUUUACUGCAGCCUGAUAUUGAGUUUCGGUAAUUGAUGCACAGGAUAGGUGGGAGUCUGAGAGACACGGGUUUCGGCUCGUGUGGAGACGAUGUUGGGAUACCACUCUUCGGUUACUGAAAUUCUAACAUAGCUCUGUGAAACCAGAGGAUGGACAGUGUCAGGUGGACAGUUUGACUGGGGCGGUCGCCUCCGAAAGAGUAACGGAGGCGCCCAAAGGUACCCUCAGAAUGGAUGGAAACCAUUCGAAGAGCGCAAAGGCAGAAGGGUGCCUGACUGCGAGAGUGACAACUCGAGCAGAGACGAAAGUCGGGCUUAGUGAUCCGGCGGUAUUGAGUGGAAAAGCCGUCGCUUAACGGAUAAAAGCUACCUCGGGGAUAACAGGCUGAUCUCCCCCAAGAGUCCACAUCGACGGGGAGGUUUGGCACCUCGAUGUCGGCUCAUCGCAUCCUGGGGCUGAAUUCGGUCCCAAGGGUUUGGCUGUUCGCCAAUUAAAGCGGCACGCGAGCUGGGUUCAGAACGUCGUGAGACAGUUCGGUCCCUAUCCAUCGUGGGCGUAGGAGUCAUGAGAGGAGCUGUUCCUAGUACGAGAGGACCGGAAUGGACGCACCACUGGUGCAACUGUUGUCGUGCCAACGGCAUAGCAGGGAAGCGAAGUGCGGAUGGGAUAAACGCUGAAGGCAUCUAAGCGUGAAGCCCACCUCAAGAAUAAGACUCCACAAUAGACCCCUGGAGGACUACCAGGUAGAUAGGUCAUCGGUGGAAGCGCUGUAAGGCGUGUAGCUUGAUGAUACUAAUCGGUCGAAAGCUUCAUUUA